UAUUGGGCAAUGGGGGAAACCCUGACCCAGCAACGCCGCGUGAGGGAAGAAGGUUUUCGGAUCGUAAACCUCUGUCCUUGGUGAAGAGAAGCAGACGGUAGCCAAGGAGGAAGCCCCGGCUAAAUACGUGCCAGCAGCCGCGGUAAUACGUAGGGGGCAAGCGUUGUCCGGAAUGAUUGGGCGGAAAGGGCGCGUAGGCGGCCUGGUAAGUCUGGAGUGAAAGUCCUGCUUUUAAGGUGGGAAUUGCUUUGGAUACUGCUGGGCUUGAGUGCAGGAGAGGUAAGUGGAAUUCCCAGUGUAGCGGUGAAAUGCGUAGAGAUUGGGAGGAACACCAGUGGCGAAGGCGACUUACUGGACUGUAACUGACGCUGAGGCGCGAAAGUGUGGGGAGCAAACAGG
This 399-nucleotide ribosomal RNA is filed under the name uncultured bacterium. RNAcentral's name for it is "bacterial SSU rRNA". It matches the Rfam family "Bacterial small subunit ribosomal RNA", at positions 362 to 776 of the family's 1533-position model. The record is from RNAcentral.